AGUAGCUGGUAGUAGUGACAAGUGAAUGUAAAUGGCCAAAACAUGUUACCAACAUGCAGUCACUUGUUCAGAAACAAGCCAUGCCUGUAGCAGAUUGGACAACCUGCUCGUGUUCCAUAACAUGCCAAGCAAGUAAGUACAAAAUAUAUUCAUACCGGUUUUGAUUUUGUGACCAUCAUUAAAUGUCAAUUAUAGAUACAUAUGACCGAUGCGAGGAAAAAGCCAGUCAAAACAACAAGUAGUGAAUUCUUCGUCAACGGAAGAGUGUGGUUGUCACACAUUAUGUUUGCCAUUGUAUUGAAUGUUUUAUUAUCUAUAUAUUUCGUGCGCGUUGGUUUCUGGGUCGUUCUAUAGGCCUAUCUGGAACGAUAAUUACGUAACUGCAAGGUCUGGAGCUAAACAAAACAUUCCUGCUGUUACGUAUCCAAACGCCGCAGUUCCUGCUCUUUUUCUUCGUCUGUAUGUUUUUGCGCCGUUUUAAUUGGAGUUAUGUGUGCUUAUGCCUAUAUUGUAGGUUCUAAAUUAAGUCGCAUAAACGUUACAAAUCUUUCUGAACUACAAGACCUACACAGCAUAUAAUUUAGGUACAACACUGUGAUGACUUGACAUUCUUAGUUGAAAUAUGCAAAUUAUGUAUUCAAGGCAAAGAAAUGUGAUUAUAAUAGUGGAUGAGAGAUAUGUCAAAGCAGCUCUUUCUUAUCAUGGGGGGACAGUUUUUAGUAAAGCUCAAAAUUAUCCAGAUAAAUUAGCUCGUGAGUAGUUGUGGUAAAGAGUUAAGCAACUGUCAAGUGACACUUGCGGUGCUUUCAAUCAUACUUGUCAUGGCUUCAUCUCCCUCACAAAAGUUUUUCUACAAUCAACACAGGACUUGUUUUGCUUGCACACUUUUCCACUGAUCCACUAGAGAAGGCAUUUGGAAAGCUUAGACAAGGUUGGGGGGGACAUAUUUUUCUCUUGAAUGAAUGCAAAAAGCACGGUCUACAGAUCCAUGCUGUUGUAGCUGAUGGUAUGUCAGUUAUCAGACGCUUUUUUAAACUUGUUAGUGGAAGUUCCACAAUUCCAUUAGAUCAACCAUUCACUGCUCCAAAUCCUCAUGCCCCAAGUCGACCGAUUUUUCUCUGCUCAGAUCCUUCUCAUUUGCUCAAGACCACAAAAAAUUCUCUCUUGUCCUCGAAACCAGGUGGUACAAGGUAUAUAAACAUAAGCGGCUUUGAUGUACUGUGGACACAUGUUAUUGAACUGUAUAAAGAAGAUCAAGCUUCUGAGAUUCUUUCAAAAAGUCUCCUUACUUCAGAGCACAUUCACCUUACCCCUUACUUAAAAAUGAGAGUUAACCUGGCAAGAGAUGUUCUCAGCUGGCGUGUUGGCAAAUGCCUUAGUACUAUUUUGUUACUGUGAAAAGUUAAGAAUUUUCUCGUGUGACAGGAGGGUGUGUCGUACUAAAUGUUAAGAUUUUGUUACUGUGAAAAGGUUAGAAUUUUCUCGUGUGACAGGGUGUGUCGUGCUAAAAGUUAAAAUUUUGUUACUGUAAAAAGUUAAGAAUUUUCUCGUGUGACAGGGUGUGUCGUGCUAAAUUUCGGAAGCAAAUAUUGUAAUGAGACUGUUGUAUUUUUUGCAGUUGUAUUAAAUCAAAUUCAUUCUAUAAAAAAUAUGGAAAGGAUCAUUAGCCUAAAAGCAUAUGCUCCAAUCCACUUUUGCGGCAGAGAAAAUUAGUAAGUGUAAUUUUUUGCAGUUGUAUUAAAUCAAAUUCAUUCUAUAAAAAAUAUGGAAAGGAUCAUUAGCCUAAAAGCAUAUGCUCCAAUCUACUUUUGCGACAGAGAAAAUUAUCAUGAAAUAGAAGAGGAGGUGAAGAGAAUCAUAAGGGAGGGCAAAAGGGGAGGCAAAAGGGGAGGCAAAAGGGGAAGCAAUAGGGGAGGCAAAAGGAGAGGCAAUAGGUGAGGCAAUAGAGAAGACAAUGGGCAGCAACGAUGGGGGCAGAAGGAGAGGUACAUCGAUUAAGCUUUGUUUAAAAGCUAAUAUUAUCAUUUAACUGCUGAGUUCUCUCAAUCUGGGGAAAUUUUAGUUACUUCACCAUUUUUAUAUUAAACAUAUAAUUUGUUAAAUAAGAAUUCAAGAGAACUGAACGCAGGUUCAUUUCCAGGAGGGAAUUCGAACGGAAAAAAAGGGCGAGUGUUCCGAAUCAAUAGUUUAAAAAAAUGGCAAAGUAAGUUAAGUUUAGAAUUUUAAUAAAAACCUUUAUAACUAAUUGACUACUUCAGGUGGCUGAAUGAGGCAGCAUUUUUGAAAAAAAAAAAGAAAAAAACAAAACAGCGGUGACUACUGGAGUGGCUAAUAAAGUGUUGUAUAGUGGAGCCGGGGCAAGCGAACUAGUAGCAGGCGGUGUUGGGGAGCACAAGAUGGGGGGUGACUACUGGAGUGGCUAAUAAAGUGUUGUAUAGUGGAGCCGGGGCAAGCGAACUAGUAGCAGGCGGUGUUGGGGAGCACAAGAUGGGGAAGGCAUGUGGAUCGAUGGUGGGCGGUGUUGGGAAACAAGAAGGGGAGGCACGUGGAUCGGUGGUGGGACGUGGAAAGUGGAGAGGUGGGAGAUGGAGCAAGGCGCUAAGACAAAGUUUAGGACGGUGGUAAAAUAAUAAAUUGC
Non-coding RNA from Ciona intestinalis (vase tunicate), 2638 nucleotides. The record is from RefSeq and is a predicted model, not a curated record. Lineage: Eukaryota; Metazoa; Chordata; Ascidiacea; Phlebobranchia; Cionidae.